Folsomia candida is the source of this 1448-nucleotide long non-coding RNA. RefSeq lists it as uncharacterized. NCBI's taxonomy places the organism in Eukaryota, Metazoa, Arthropoda, Collembola, Entomobryomorpha, Isotomidae. The transcript is spliced from 3 exons. The record is from RefSeq and is a predicted model, not a curated record.
UAUGUCACUUGCGUUUAUUUACAGGCCGGGUGGACAGUCCCCUGAAAAUAUUUUAGGCUAGUACAAUAUACCCAGGCAUGUAUGUACAUAUUCUAAUUAGCAUAAUAGCAUGGCGUUUAACCAAAACCAUAUCGAAAAAUUAGCUGGAACUUUCCACCGAAUUUAGCUCUGCUAAAAGCUUAACGUGCGAUAUCAGUAGGAUUGAAAAUAGUGUUCGCGCCUAGUAGACUUGAAUAAUUUAUUGAAGGAACCUAUUUGAUGAAAGGGCAGUAAAGCUGAAUUUGAACAUGAAGGUUCUUUAAUAGAUGAAUGACAAAUAAGAGUUUACGUAUGCGAAUAUAAUGAAAAGUAUAUUUUGAAAGGGGUUACAAAUAUUUAGAAAUGGUAUAUAAGUUUUAUACAGAUCAGUGCCCAGUAUCUAACAGGGCGUUUAAUGGGUCAUGAGUUUCUACUACAUUUUUUAGGAUGAAAAUACUGCUCCUGAAGAUACUGUAAAGUGUAUAUGCAUGAAGCAUUUGUGCACGCAUAUUUCGGUACAAAAUUGAUAUGCUUCCCAGAUAACAGGUCGCUAUGAAUUCGCUUAGAGAAUUCGCAGAGAAUGUCGCGUUAAAACAGAGAACUCGAAUUCUCUCAGAUUUCGUUAUUAUUCUCGUAUCGAAUUCGCAUCGAAUUCGGUAAUUAUUCGUAUCUAAAUUCGAUAUUACGCUCAUUUCAGAAUUCGUAAUGAAUUAGACUCGAAUUCUCAGAGAAUUCUUCUAUCGAAUUCGAAACGACUUCACUAUGAAUUCUUAAAGGAAUUCGCUGUUAUUGUAGUGAGGAAUUCUCCCCGAUUUCGAUAGGGAUUCUUCUUACAGGAAUAGGAGACUAUAAACUGUUCGCCUUGAAUCUCGAAUUCGUAAAUAAUUCUUAGAGAAUUUACUGUGAUUUCUCUCUUUCACGCUGUUAUUGUAUUUUUAAGUAAUUUUAGCUGCCACAUUCAAAUCUAUCCUCAUGGGAAGGAGACGACUUUUUCAGUUGAGUGCUCGCUACAAAAGAAGACUUGUAAAAACACCAAGUGAAAUUUUCGAGGAAAAUUUAAAUAGUGACCUAGUCCAGGCCGAAAGGGAAAACAUUUAUUCAGAACAAGUGUUCGAGGAAGAUCUGGAAGAAAUUGAAGUCGGAAGUAAGUUCAGCUGAAACUACUAGCUCAGAAAGUGAAGAUGCGGUAGCAGCUCACCCUAGGACUCCAAAUCAUACAGACGAGGGCACAGUUGACGAAGAAAUACAAAAAUCUCUUAAGAAAGUCGCAGAUAGAGUUGGGAAGCGUAUGAGGAAGUGACUUAACAUCGCGGCCACUUUCACUACCAGGGUCAUCUGAUUAUUCAACUUAUGUCUAUUUUAAUAGAAACAGUUAUGUAUAUUACAUAAUAUUUAGAAUAAAUAAAAUAAACUAUAAGCUGGAUUAACUC